GUGGGGAAUAUUGGACAAUGGGCGCAAGCCUGAUCCAGCCAUGCCGCGUGAGUGAUGAAGGCCUUAGGGUUGUAAAGCUCUUUCAGUGGGGACGAUAAUGACGGUACCCACAGAAGAAGCCCCGGCUAACUUCGUGCCAGCAGCCGCGGUAAUACGAAGGGGGCUAGCGUUGUUCGGAUUUACUGGGCGUAAAGCGCACGUAGGCGGAUCGUUAAGUCGGGGGUGAAAUCCUGGAGCUCAACUCGAGAACUGCCUUUGGUACUGGCGAUCUUGAGUCCGGAAGAGGUGAGUGGAACUCCUAGUGUAGAGGUGGAAUUCGUAGAUAUUAGUAAGAACACCAGUGGCGAAGGCGGCUCACUGGUCCGGUACUGACGCUGAGGUGCGAAAGCGUGGGGAGCAAACAGGAUUAGAAACCCUAGUAGUCC
This 425-nucleotide ribosomal RNA is filed under the name uncultured bacterium. RNAcentral describes it as "partial 16S ribosomal RNA". It matches the Rfam family "Bacterial small subunit ribosomal RNA", at positions 354 to 796 of the family's 1533-position model. The record is from RNAcentral.